This 75-nucleotide transfer RNA is filed under the name Cyanoptyche gloeocystis. Its description in RNAcentral is "tRNA-Thr". It matches the Rfam family "tRNA". Rfam says of the family: Transfer RNA (tRNA) molecules are approximately 80 nucleotides in length. Their secondary structure includes four short double-helical elements and three loops (D, anti-codon, and T loops). Lineage: Eukaryota; Glaucocystophyceae. The record is from RNAcentral.
GCUGGUGUAGCUCAGUUGGUAGAGCAGUUGAUUUGUAAUCAACCGGUCAGGGGUUCAAGUCCCCUCACUAGCUUA